AUUGAACGCUGGCGGCAUGCCUUACACAUGCAAGUCGAACGGCAGCACGGGAGCAAUCCUGGUGGCGAGUGGCGAACGGGUGAGUAAUAUAUCGGAACGUGCCCAGUCGUGGGGGAUAACGUAGCGAAAGCUACGCUAAUACCGCAUACGAUCUACGGAUGAAAGCGGGGGAUCGCAAGACCUCGCGCGAUUGGAGCGGCCGAUAUCAGAUUAGCUAGUUGGUGGGGUAAAAGCUCACCAAGGCGACGAUCUGUAGCUGGUCUGAGAGGACGACCAGCCACACUGGAACUGAGACACGGUCCAGACUCCUACGGGAGGCAGCAGUGGGGAAUUUUGGACAAUGGGCGCAAGCCUGAUCCAGCAAUGCCGCGUGCAGGAUGAAGGCCUUCGGGUUGUAAACUGCUUUGUACGGUAACGAAACGGUAGAGCUCUAAUAAAGACUUGCUAAUGACGGUACCGUAAGAAUAAGACACCGGCUAACUACGUGCC
RNAcentral lists this ribosomal RNA (489 nucleotides) under uncultured bacterium. RNAcentral's name for it is "bacterial SSU rRNA". It matches the Rfam family "Bacterial small subunit ribosomal RNA", at positions 30 to 509 of the family's 1533-position model. The record is from RNAcentral.